GCCUUUCGUGGAGAGGACUGGAGCUCGGGCUGCUGGUGACAGCCCGGCUGGGGGGCGUCUGUGUGUCGCAGACGCAGGCCU
This 81-nucleotide transfer RNA is filed under the name Prevotella denticola. RNAcentral's name for it is "tRNA-Thr(ggt)". Lineage: Bacteria; Pseudomonadati; Bacteroidota; Bacteroidia; Bacteroidales; Prevotellaceae. The record is from RNAcentral.